GUGGGGAAUAUUGCACAAUGGGGGAAACCCUGAUGCAGCAACGCCGCGUGAGUGAAGAAGUAUUUCGGUAUGUAAAGCUCUAUCAGCAGGAAAGAAAAUGACGGUACCUGACUAAGAAGCCCCGGCUAACUACGUGCCAGCAGCCGCGGUAAUACGUAGGGGGCAAGCGUUAUCCGGAUUUACUGGGUGUAAAGGGAGCGUAGACGGUUUUGCAAGUCUGAAGUGAAAGCCCGGGGCUUAACCCCGGGACUGCUUUGGAAACUGUAGAACUAGAGUGCAGGAGAGGUAAGUGGAAUUCCUAGUGUAGCGGUGAAAUGCGUAGAUAUUAGGAGGAACACCAGUGGCGAAGGCGGCUUACUGGACUGUAACUGACGUUGAGGCUCGAAAGCGUGGGGAGCAAACAGGAUUAGAAACCCCAGUAGUCC
This 425-nucleotide ribosomal RNA is filed under the name uncultured bacterium. Its description in RNAcentral is "partial 16S ribosomal RNA". It matches the Rfam family "Bacterial small subunit ribosomal RNA", at positions 354 to 796 of the family's 1533-position model. The record is from RNAcentral.